RNAcentral lists this ribosomal RNA (464 nucleotides) under uncultured bacterium. RNAcentral's name for it is "partial 16S ribosomal RNA". It matches the Rfam family "Bacterial small subunit ribosomal RNA", at positions 338 to 795 of the family's 1533-position model. The record is from RNAcentral.
CCUACGGGUGGCAGCAGUGGGGAAUCUUCCGCAAUGGGCGAAAGCCUGACGGAGCAACGCCGCGUGAUCGAAUGAAGGCCUUCGGGUUGUAAAGAUCUGUUGACAGGGACGAAUAAGCAAUGCGAAUAGUUUUUUGUAUGACGGUACCUGUUUAGAAAGCUCCGACUACCUACGUGCCACCAGCCGCGGUACAACGUAGGGAGCAAGCGUUGUCCGGAAUUACUGGGCGUAAAGGGCGCGUAGGUGGUCGCUUAAGUCAGGUGUGAAAACUCCGGGCUCAACCUGGAGACUGCAGUUGAAACUGGGUGUCUUGAGGGCAGGAGAGGAAAGUGGAAUUCGUGGUGUAGCGGUGAAAUGCGUAGAUAUUAGGAGGAACACCAGUGGCGAAGGCGACUUUCUGGACUGUAACUGACGCUGAGGCGCGAAAGCGUGGGUAGCGAACGGGAUUAGAUACCCUGGUAGUC